GACGAACGCUGGCGGCGUGCCUAAUACAUGCCAGUUGAGCGAUGAAGAUUGGUGCUUGCACCAAUUUGAAGAGCAGCGAAAGGGUGAGUAACGCGUGGGGAAUCUGCCUUUGAGCGGGGGACAACAUUUGGAAACGAAUGCUAAUACCGCAUAACAACUUUAAACAUAAGUUUUAAGUUUGAAAGAUGCAAUUGCAUCACUCAAAGAUGAUCCCGCGUUGCAUUAGCUAGUUGGUGGGGUAAAGGCUCACCAAGGCGAUGAUACAUAGCCGACCUGAGAGGGUGAUCGGCCCACUUGGGACUGGGACACGGCCCAAGAUCCUACGGGAGGCAGCAGUAGGGAAUCUUCGGCAAUGGACGAAAGUCUGACCGAACAACGCCGGGUGAGUGAAGAAGGUUUUCGGAUCGUAAAACUCUGUUGGUAGGGAAGAACGUUGGUGAGAGUGGAAAGCUCAUCAAGUGACGGUAACUAACCAGAAAGGGACGGCUAACUACGUG
This 497-nucleotide ribosomal RNA is filed under the name uncultured bacterium. RNAcentral describes it as "partial 16S ribosomal RNA". It matches the Rfam family "Bacterial small subunit ribosomal RNA", at positions 28 to 507 of the family's 1533-position model. The record is from RNAcentral.